This 249-nucleotide non-coding RNA is filed under the name marine eukaryotic metagenome. The record is from RNAcentral.
AAGUCCCACCUGCCUAAAGUUUAGCCAACAGGGCAGUAGUGAAGCCUGAGGGUAAACCCAGUAAUGGGAGUCCGAAGCCAGGUGGAUCAAGAGUGCAGGGUCUGUAUUGAGCCCCGAAACAUGUAUAGUUGUGGACCAUUAGGAUAAUCCCGUAGUUGGGAGAAAGCCGACGGCUUGGAUUUGUCAGGAAGGCAGCAGACCUGAAUGCGUUAAGGCGAGUAUUCAGUGUCACCACCGGGGUCUAAGACC